CCUACGGGAGACAGCAGUGGGGAAUCUUGCGCAAUGGGCGAAAGCCUGACGCAGCAACGCCGCGUGGGUGAUGAAGGUCUUCGGAUUGUAAAACCCUGUCGUUAGGGACGAAGACAUGAAUCCUAAUACGAUUCAUGUUUGACGGUACCUAGAAAGGAAGCCCCGGCUAACUCUGUGCCAGCAGCCGCGGUAAUACAGAGGGGGCAAGCGUUAUUCGGAAUUAUUGGGCGUAAAGGGUGCGUAGGCGGUUUUCUAAGUCAGAUGUGUAAUCCCCGAGCUCAACUUGGGAACUGCAUCUGAAACUGGGAGACUAGAGUACUGGAGAGGAUGGUGGAAUUCCACGUGUAGCGGUAAAAUGCGUAGAGAUGUGGAGGAACACCAGUGGCGAAGGCGGCCAUCUGGACAGUAACUGACGCUGAAGCACGAAAGUGUGGGUAGCAAACAGGAUUAGAUACCCUGGUAGUCCACACCGUAAACGAUGAACACUUGGUGUAGUGGGAGUUGACCCCCACUGUGCCGUAGCUAACGCGAUAAGUGUUCCGCCUGGGGAGUAACGGUCGCAAGGCUGAAACUUCAAAUUGAAUUGACGGCUUAGAGACGNGACGAGGCACGAGGAGGGAGAGG
RNAcentral lists this ribosomal RNA (624 nucleotides) under uncultured bacterium. RNAcentral describes it as "bacterial SSU rRNA". It matches the Rfam family "Bacterial small subunit ribosomal RNA", at positions 338 to 953 of the family's 1533-position model. The record is from RNAcentral.